UACGUAGGGGGCAAGCGUUGUCCGGAAUCAUUGGGCGUAAAGCGCGUGUAGGCGGUUCAGUAAGUCUGCUGUGAAAGUCCAGGGCUCAACCCUGGGAUGCCGGUGGAUACUGCUGGACUAGAGUGCGGAAGAGGCGAGUGGAAUUCCCGGUGUAGCGGUGAAAUGCGCAGAUAUCGGGAGGAACACCAAUGCGAAGGCAGCUCGCUGGGACGUUACUGACGCUGAGACGCGAAAGCGUGGGGAGCAAACAGG
This 252-nucleotide ribosomal RNA is filed under the name uncultured bacterium. RNAcentral describes it as "partial 16S ribosomal RNA". It matches the Rfam family "Bacterial small subunit ribosomal RNA", at positions 524 to 776 of the family's 1533-position model. The record is from RNAcentral.